AGUUAAAAAGCUAUUGAAUAAGCCCAAUGUCUUGAAAACAUUGUGAAAGAAGUUCAAGUCUUCUAUUAACUU
Molecule: transfer RNA, 72 nt
Filed under: Amitermes sp. ANIC 0073
Lineage: Eukaryota; Metazoa; Arthropoda; Insecta; Blattodea; Termitidae
Description: tRNA-Ser
Source: RNAcentral